This 409-nucleotide ribosomal RNA is filed under the name uncultured bacterium. Its description in RNAcentral is "bacterial SSU rRNA". It matches the Rfam family "Bacterial small subunit ribosomal RNA", at positions 30 to 444 of the family's 1533-position model. The record is from RNAcentral.
AUUGAACGCUGGCGGCAUGCUUUACACAUGCAAGUCGAACGGUAACAGGCCUUCGGGUGCUGACGAGUGGCGAACGGGUGAGUAAUGCAUCGGAACGUGCCCAAUCGUGGGGGAUAACGUAGCGAAAGUUACGCUAAUACCGCAUAAGCCCUGAGGGGGAAAGUGGGGGACCGCAAGGCCUCACGCGAAUGGAGCGGCCGAUGUCAGAUUAGCUAGUUGGUGGGGUAAAGGCCCACCAAGGCGACGAUCAGUAGCGGGUCUGAGAGGAUGAUCCGCCACACUGGGACUGAGACACGGCCCAGACUCCUACGGGAGGCAGCAGUGGGGAAUUUUGGACAAUGGGCGAAAGCCUGAUCCAGCCAUGCCGCGUGUCUGAAGAAGGCCUUCGGUGUAAGGACUUUAGUCUAGG